RNAcentral lists this ribosomal RNA (1099 nucleotides) under Staphylococcus aureus. Its description in RNAcentral is "partial 23S ribosomal RNA". It matches the Rfam family "Bacterial large subunit ribosomal RNA", at positions 72 to 1167 of the family's 2925-position model. Lineage: Bacteria; Bacillati; Bacillota; Bacilli; Caryophanales; Staphylococcaceae. The record is from RNAcentral.
UAUGCUUUGGGGAGCUGUAAGUAAGCUUUGAUCCAGAGAUUUCCGAAUGGGGAAACCCAGCAUGAGUUAUGUCAUGUUAUCGAUAUGUGAAUACAUAGCAUAUCAGAAGGCACACCCGGAGAACUGAAACAUCUUAGUACCCGGAGGAAGAGAAAGAAAAUUCGAUUCCCUUAGUAGCGGCGAGCGAAACGGGAAGAGCCCAAACCAACAAGUUUGCUUGUUGGGGUUGUAGGACACUCUAUACGGAGUUACAAAGGACGACAUUAGACGAAUCAUCUGGAAAGAUGAAUCAAAGAAGGUAAUAAUCCUGUAGUCGAAAAUGUUGUCUCUCUUGAGUGGAUCCUGAGUACGACGGAGCACGUGAAAUUCCGUCGGAAUCUGGGAGGACCAUCUCCUAAGGCUAAAUACUCUCUAGUGACCGAUAGUGAACCAGUACCGUGAGGGAAAGGUGAAAAGCACCCCGGAAGGGGAGUGAAAUAGAACCUGAAACCGUGUGCUUACAAGUAGUCAGAGCCCGUUAAUGGGUGAUGGCGUGCCUUUUGUAGAAUGAACCGGCGAGUUACGAUUUGAUGCAAGGUUAAGCAGUAAAUGUGGAGCCGUAGCGAAAGCGAGUCUGAAUAGGGCGUUUAGUAUUUGGUCGUAGACCCGAAACCAGGUGAUCUACCCUUGGUCAGGUUGAAGUUCAGGUAACACUGAAUGGAGGACCGAACCGACUUACGUUGAAAAGUGAGCGGAUGAACUGAGGGUAGCGGAGAAAUUCCAAUCGAACCUGGAGAUAGCUGGUUCUCUCCGAAAUAGCUUUAGGGCUAGCCUCAAGUGAUGAUUAUUGGAGGUAGAGCACUGUUUGGACGAGGGGCCCCUCUCGGGUUACCGAAUUCAGACAAACUCCGAAUGCCAAUUAAUUUAACUUGGGAGUCAGAACAUGGGUGAUAAGGUCCGUGUUCGAAAGGGAAACAGCCCAGACCACCAGCUAAGGUCCCAAAAUAUAUGUUAAGUGGAAAAGGAUGUGGCGUUGCCCAGACAACUAGGAUGUUGGCUUAGAAGCAGCCAUCAUUUAAAGAGUGCGUAAUAGCUCACUAGUCGAGUGACACUGCGCCGA